GUUUCCGCCUGCUGCUGAGGAUGCUGGAGAAGCGGAUGGACCGAGCGGAGAAUAAGGGUGAGCUUCAGACAGACAAGAUGAUGAGGGCAGCUGCCAAGGAUGUGCACAGGCUCCGAGGCCAGAGCUGUAAGGAACCCCCAGAAGUUCAGUCUUUCAGGAAAAGCUACAUGGAGCAAAUCCUCCUGCCUGAAGAAGUGCAUCUCAGCAUCACUUCAGCUGUCGGGGCGUUUGUGGGGAGAAUCAGACCACCUCCGCGGAAGGCAACAGACCCUCUUCCAGCCAUAGAGUUGAAUUCUCUAUAAAUGGUUCACCAGCAAACCACCAAUACAUUCCGUUGUUUGCCUAGAGAGAAAUUUAAAAAUAAAUAAAUGUUCAUUUAUAA
RNAcentral lists this small RNA (382 nucleotides) under Pongo abelii (Sumatran orangutan). RNAcentral's name for it is "processed transcript". The record is from RNAcentral. Lineage: Eukaryota; Metazoa; Chordata; Mammalia; Primates; Hominidae.